RNAcentral lists this ribosomal RNA (449 nucleotides) under uncultured bacterium. RNAcentral describes it as "bacterial SSU rRNA". It matches the Rfam family "Bacterial small subunit ribosomal RNA", at positions 30 to 467 of the family's 1533-position model. The record is from RNAcentral.
AUUGAACGCUGGCGGCGUGCUUAACACAUGCAAGUCGUACGCGAAAGGGACUUCGGUCCCGAGUAAAGUGGCGCACGGGUGAGUAACACGUGGAUAAUCUGCCUCUAUGAUGGGGAUAACAGUUGGAAACGACUGCUAAUACCGAAUACGCUCAUGAUGAACUUUAUGAGGAAAGGUGGCCUCUGCUUGCAAGCUAUCGCAUAGAGAUGAGUCCGCGUCCCAUUAGCUAGUUGGUGGGGUAACGGCCUACCAAGGCAACGAUGGGUAGCCGAUCUGAGAGGAUGAUCGGCCACACUGGAACUGAAACACGGUCCAGACUCCUACGGGAGGCAGCAGUGGGGAAUAUUGCGCAAUGGGCGAAAGCCUGACGCAGCGACGCCGCGUGAGGGAUGAAGGUCUUCGGAUCGUAAACCUCUGUCAGAAGGGAAGAAACUAGGGUGCUCUAAUCA